UUAAAAGUAGAAUGGGAGGCAGAGCCUUCAGUUUUCAGGCCCCUCUUCAACCCUACCUGCUCCAGUACCAAACGCAGCCCAUACGCACGCCCAUCCUGGGCUAUCCCUGGUUCUGUCGGCACAACCCCCAUAUCUCCUGGUCAUCGUGUCAGAUCCUGGGCUGGGGCUGUUUACAAAGCUGUUUCAACCCUGAGACCAGAAUGGAUCCCGCAAAACUACCCCCUUCAGAGCCCAUUGAUCUGGAGAAGAUUCCUCAAGUCUUCCAUGAUCUCUCCGAGGUUCGGAGAUACACUCUAACCUACCCCCGCUCACCCCUAUGACCCCCUAUAUGUACCGAGACGCUGACAGGUUUUCUUAACCAGGGUGUUAAUGUGACAGGACCAUGACAGGUCCUGAGUGAUGUGGACACCCAGGUACUGGGAGCUGUCCACUCUCUCCACUGGUGCGCCACUGAUGAUUAGGGACUCACCUGUUUUGUAGCGAAGACCGCGAUCAGCUCUGCUGAUGUUUAGGAGGAGGUUGUUCUCCUGGCACCAGUUCUUCAGGAUCCUCAUCUCCUCCAGGUCGGCCUUCUCGGUGGUGUCAGAGACCAGGCACACCACAACGGUGUGGUCAGCAAACUUGACAAUGGAGGUGGUGUCUGAUGUGGCUACACAGUCAUAAGUGUACAGUGAGUACAGCAGGGGGCUUAAAACACAGCCCUGAGACACUCCAGUGCUGAGUGGGAUGGAGGGGGAGACUUGUUCUCCCACCCUUACAGAUUGGGGUCCGUCUGUGAGGAAGUCGAGGAUCCACUGACACAGUGAUGAGCUGAGUCCUAGAUCCUUCAUGUGAAAAGCUUUGAGGGAAUUAUUGUGCUGAAUGCUGAACUGUAGUCCAUGAACGGAUAAGAGAGGAGCGAGCCAAAAACAGGAAACACCUAUGUCUUAUGAGGGUGGCAAAGGUUAAACAUUGAAGAGUAUAUAAAUGAUGUUUUACACACAUAUUGCAAUCGUGCUCAUAUGAGUUGUAACUCAGCCCUAAGAAGGUCAAAAGCUUCGUUCAGCGUGACCGUCCGAACUGAUAUGCUGCAGGGAUGGCGUGGAGUGUAGUGAAUGGAUGCAUAACAGGCUUACACACACAAACAUCACAUAGAUUGAUUUUCUAGGGUAAAGGUGGAACACGUCUUGCUUUGUCUUUGCUUAGCAACUAGUGAUGCAGAAGGUGUUAAAGAUAAGCCAUGAAUAAGUCAACAGGAAACGUGUUGGGGUGCGACGGCUGAAACAAAAUGUUGCAGAUAACGGAAACUUAUCUAACUGUCAUUAGCUGUAACUUUUGCACGUUAUGUAUCUGCUUGAAGCAAAAAGGGGCGUAAACCCUGAUAGACAAAAAUUUUGGAGUGUGCUUUCUAGUGGAGAUUUAUGCUGAUAUGGUGAUGGUGUAUAUCUGACCCUGGGUGGGUUUAAUACAAUUAAAAGUGUUGCUCACACACAUAAAGAGCAUUGAGAUUAAGUAAAGUUAAUAUAAAGGAUAGAGCCCAGAACGGGAUAUUUUGAACCAACUUUGAAUAAUUAGAUGAACACAGUAGAUUAUUGAGGCGUAGCAGAGGGAGGCGUUUUGUUUUCUGACUUUACAGGAGAAGAUUCCAGAACCAGAGCGAAACCACGGAGGGGUUGGUGAGAAUCCAGAAACCAACCAUCAGAAAGGGGAACUCACAAGAAGCACAGAGAACCACAGCUCCAGGAAAUGUUGCUUAGGAGACUAAAAGCUCGUUGGACACACGUUAAAUGUGAGCAUAAAAGUAAUGAAGAGUAAUGAGAAGGACUUUAGGAAUAGUUUGCAGGAUUUCUAUGUUAUUUAAAUUGCCCAAGAAUAGUGUUAAUACCGGAUAUAUGUUACCCGUAGAGGGGGUGAAAACAGUCUCCGUAUUCUGGAAUAUGUCAAAUGAAAGAUCGUUUUUUGAGCUUUGACCACUUUGAGCCGUGUCUUUCUUUGCUGUAAAGAAUACAAAGAACUGGAUUUAAUACCCUGCUGUCUUGCAACAUCUGAUUAACAAUGUCUUUCGUGACAAGCUAGGCUGGUGGCCGUUGGCAUAUUUGUCAAGUCAAGUUUAUUUAUAAAGCACAUUUAAAAACAACCGAGGCUGACCAAAGUGCUGUACAAUAAAAUACAAAUAUAAAAUACAAUAAAACACAAGUACAUAAAACACCUCACUGAUAAAACAAUAAAUUAAAACAAUAAGUUAAACCUUGCUAAAAGCCAAUGAGAAGAGGUGAGUUUUAAGAGCAGUUUUAAAAGUUCCUAGGCUUGUGGAGAAUCUGAUGUGAGGAGGUAAACUGUUCCACAGUCUGGGUGCAGCCACAGCAAAAGCCCUCUCUCCCCUAGUCUUUAGUCUGUACCUGGGAACAUCUAAAAGCAUCAGGUCUGCUGACCUCAAAGAUCUCCUGGGGCGGUAAAUGCUAAGAAGCUCUGCCAGGUAAGGAGGUGCAGUACCGUUAAGAACCU
Haplochromis burtoni (Burton's mouthbrooder) is the source of this 2484-nucleotide long non-coding RNA. RefSeq lists it as uncharacterized. NCBI's taxonomy places the organism in Eukaryota, Metazoa, Chordata, Actinopteri, Cichliformes, Cichlidae. The transcript has 2 exons. The record is from RefSeq and is a predicted model, not a curated record.